Molecule: transfer RNA, 74 nt
Filed under: Candidatus Bathyarchaeota archaeon
Lineage: Archaea; Thermoproteati; Candidatus Bathyarchaeota
Also listed under: 2 other names
Description: tRNA-Gly
Rfam family: tRNA
About the family: Transfer RNA (tRNA) molecules are approximately 80 nucleotides in length.
Source: RNAcentral
GCGGCGCUGGUCUAGCCUGGUAUGACACCAGCCCCCCAAGCUGGGAAUCCCGGGUUCAAAUCCCGGGCGCCGCA